This 504-nucleotide ribosomal RNA is filed under the name uncultured bacterium. RNAcentral describes it as "partial 16S ribosomal RNA". It matches the Rfam family "Bacterial small subunit ribosomal RNA", at positions 29 to 523 of the family's 1533-position model. The record is from RNAcentral.
AUUGAACGCUGGCGGCAGGCCUAACACAUGCAAGUCGAACGGUAGCACAGAGAGCUUGCUCUCGGGUGACGAGUGGCGGACGGGUGAGUAACGUCUGGGAAACUGCCCGAUGGAGGGGGAUAACUACUGGAAACGGUAGCUAAUACCGCAUAACGUCGCAAGACCAAAGUGGGGGACCUUCGGGCCUCACACCAUCGGAUGUGCGCAGAUGGGAUUAGCUAGUAGGUGGGGUAAUGGCUCACCUAGGCGACGAUCCCUAGCUGGCCUGAGAGGAUGACCAGCCACACUGGAACUGAGACACGGUCCAGACUCCUACGGGAGGCAGCAGUGGGGAAUAUUGCACAAUGGGCGCAAGCCUGAUGCAGCCAUGCCGCGUGUAUGAAGAAGGCCUUCGGGUUGUAAAGUACUUUCAGCGGGGAGGAAGGCGGUGAAGUUAAUAGCUUCACCGAUUGACGUUACCCGCAGAAGAAGCACCGGCUAACUCCGUGCCAGCCGCCGCAGUAA